CCCGGCGACAAGCGGUGGAGUAUGUGGUUUAAUUCGAUGCAACGCGAAGAACCUUACCUGGUCUUGACAUCCCGGAGACCCUUAGGAAACUAGGGGGUGCUUCCAUCUGGAAGAAUCUGGAGACAGGUGCUGCAUGGCUGUCGUCAGCUCGUGUCGUGAGAUGUUGGGUUAAGUCCCGCAACGAGCGCAACCCUUGCCUUUAGUUGCCAGCAGUUCGGCUGGGCACUCUAAAGGGACUGCCGGUGUUAAACCGGAGGAAGGUGGGGAUGACGUCAAGUCCUCAUGGCCUUUAUGACCAGGGCUACACACGUACUACAAUGGCCGAUACAAAGGGCAGCGACACUGCGAGGUGAAGCCAAUCCCGUAAAAUCGGUCUCAGUCCGGAUUGGAGUCUGCAACUCGACUCCAUGAAGUUGGAAUCACUAGUAAUCGUGGAUCAGCAUGCCACGGUGAAUACGUUCCCGGGCCUU
This 470-nucleotide ribosomal RNA is filed under the name uncultured Desulfobulbus sp. RNAcentral's name for it is "bacterial SSU rRNA". It matches the Rfam family "Bacterial small subunit ribosomal RNA", at positions 920 to 1382 of the family's 1533-position model. Lineage: Bacteria; Pseudomonadati; Thermodesulfobacteriota; Desulfobulbia; Desulfobulbales; Desulfobulbaceae. The record is from RNAcentral.